RNAcentral lists this long non-coding RNA (239 nucleotides) under Carica papaya (papaya). RNAcentral describes it as "long non-coding RNA (CPAP_LNC009590)". The record is from RNAcentral. Lineage: Eukaryota; Viridiplantae; Streptophyta; Magnoliopsida; Brassicales; Caricaceae.
UAAUUUUUGACUUGGUCAAAAUUAUGACCUUACUCUAUCUAUCUUUUAGUGAACUCGUCUUAUGACUUUUUAAUUUUGAUUUAGUCUUUGUAAGAAUCUCUUCUAGAUAAAGGUGUCAAAACAUGGGUAAGACUUCCCAUUCGAAUAAAGUACUGAUUCCUUUCACUAACAUAGCUGAAAUCUCGAUCAUAUUGCCAUGGAUUACCUAGCAGCAUGUGCCCUUGUUGCAUGGGAACCAC